ACUCCACCAUAGUACCUUCCACAGUGGAGGCCUCAGACAGUGAGGUGAGAGUGGCAGUGAGCAUUGCUCCAUUGGAGUCAGUGAGAACACCUCGGAAUGCUGGAUUAGCUCGUGUCUCAUCAGUGUUGCUGGUCCUUAAAGAUAUACUGAAUCGGGCACCUUGUGGUGGAGUGACGUCCCAUCGUAUGAGAGUACCAGGCAGAGUACAGGUCCAAAGGCAGCACUGCCACCUGGAGAUGAAUAGAUGAUAAUGUAUAGCAGUGAAUCAAAAGUCCCAGUGUUAUGGGACCACCCACUAUACUGCCGAGGUUCUUCAUUCCUGUCUCCAUGGCAAGUAACUGAAAGUGACACCUCCUCAUAAACCGGACCAGCUGGCUGUGCAGUGGGUCCUACGUUAGCUUGUCCUUCAGUUGCCGGGAAGUACACCGCCUUCUUACGAGAGAAAACAUGCAUCACUUGGAGUCCAGUGAGGAAUCCAAGAAUGGCAGCAACAAAGAAAGUAAUAAUUACCCUGAUAGCAGCAACUACACCAAUGGAUAGGGAGGUGGCAGUAGGACCUGUAAAAUCGAGUUGGUGACACACACAUGAUUGCCUCAGGCUCAGUGCUCCAGACUCCAGCAUUGGUGCAAGUGACGUUGUUGGGUCCAGUCAGUGAGAGUCCAUUGUCAC
Halichondria panicea is the source of this 669-nucleotide long non-coding RNA. RefSeq lists it as uncharacterized. The record is from RefSeq and is a predicted model, not a curated record. Lineage: Eukaryota; Metazoa; Porifera; Demospongiae; Suberitida; Halichondriidae. The transcript is spliced from 4 exons.